RNAcentral lists this ribosomal RNA (481 nucleotides) under uncultured bacterium. Its description in RNAcentral is "partial 16S ribosomal RNA". It matches the Rfam family "Bacterial small subunit ribosomal RNA", at positions 28 to 507 of the family's 1533-position model. The record is from RNAcentral.
GAUGAACGCUGGCGGCGUGCUUAACACAUGCAAGUCGAACGAAGCAUUUGCGCCAGAUUUUUUCGGAAUGAAGUUGCUUAUGACUGAGUGGCGGACGGGUGAGUAACGCGUGGGUAACCUGCCUUGUACUGGGGGAUAGCAGCUGGAGACGGCUGGUAAUACCGCAUAAGCGCACAAUGUUGCAUGACAUGGUGUGAAAAACUCCGGUGGUAUAAGAUGGACCCGCGUCUGAUUAGCUAGUUGGUGAGAUAACAGCCCACCAAGGCGACGAUGAGUAGCCGACCUGAGAGGGUGACCGGCCACAUUGGGACUGAGACACGGCCCAGACUCCUACGGGAGGCAGCAGUGGGGAAUAUUGCACAAGGGAGGAAACUCUGAUGCAGCGACGCCGCGUGAGUGAAGAAGUAAUUCGUUAUGUAAAGCUCUAUCAGCAGGGAAGAUAGUGACGGUACCUGACUAAGAAGCUCCGGCUAAAUACGUG